GAGAAACUUGGAUGAAAAGAAACGUGAAACUGAUGUCAAAUCCCAAGCACCAAAACGAACUCUAACCGUUCUAGAGCUAGCUCUCUCCAGCUCCACCAGUAGCUAAGAUUUGCAGAUUUCAGCAGCAAUGUCUCAAGAUUCAGAGAUUAACAGCAACUCCACUGCUUCAUCUUACACCUCAGCUUUCAUUUCCACUUAUGAAAGCUUGAUGAAAAUAGUAUCACAUAUUGAGCUUAGCUCGGAUGUUCUCCGAACAGCUCGUGCUGUUCGACUUACGAAUUGCUUGAGGAAGAACCUGACAGAAGAUACUUUAAUUCAAUAUCUGCUGCAUUUUGGUCUUUUGAAGAAUUCUGAACUGAAUGCUCGACUAUCUUCAUUUCUAAUU
This is a long non-coding RNA of Populus nigra (black poplar), 385 nucleotides long. RefSeq lists it as uncharacterized. The transcript has 3 exons. The record is from RefSeq and is a predicted model, not a curated record. Lineage: Eukaryota; Viridiplantae; Streptophyta; Magnoliopsida; Malpighiales; Salicaceae.